GACGAACGCUGGCGGCGUGCUUAACACAUGCAAGUCGAACGGAAAGGCCCUGCUUGCAGGGUACUCGAGUGGCGAACGGGUGAGUAACACGUGGGUGAUCUGCCCUGCACUUCGGGAUAAGCCUGGGCAACUGGGUCUAAUACCGGAUAGGAGCCAUUUUUAGUGUGAUGGUUGGAAAGUUUUUUCGGUGUAGGAUGAGCUCGCGGCCUAUCAGCUUGUUGGUGGGGUAAUGGCCUACCAAGGCGGCGACGGGUAGCCGGCCUGAGAGGGUGGACGGCCACAUUGGGGCUGAGAUACGGCCCAGACUCCUACGGGAGGCAGCAGUGGGGAAUAUUGCACAAUGGGCGCAAGCCUGAUGCAGCGACGCCGCGUGGGGGAUGACGGCCUUCGGGUUGUAAACUCCUUUCGCUAGGGACGAAGCUUUUUGUGACGGUACCUAGAUAAGAAGCACCGGCUAACUACGUG
Molecule: ribosomal RNA, 465 nt
Filed under: uncultured bacterium
Lineage: Bacteria
Description: partial 16S ribosomal RNA
Rfam family: Bacterial small subunit ribosomal RNA
Source: RNAcentral